AGGCCAUGGUGUGGGCAAACUCGUUGAGGUUCUUUAUAGCGAUCCCAUGCCUCAUAUAGGGAUUUAUUUUCAUGUUGGGUGAAUGAGGUUAUUUCUUUAAUAAGCCU
This 107-nucleotide small nucleolar RNA is filed under the name Jatropha curcas. Its description in RNAcentral is "Plant small nucleolar RNA R71". It matches the Rfam family "Plant small nucleolar RNA R71". From Rfam's summary of the family: R71 is a member of the C/D box family of snoRNAs containing the C (UGAUGA) and D (CUGA) box motifs. Multiple nearly identical copies of this snoRNA have been identified in Arabidopsis, and it is thought to function as a 2'-O-ribose methylation guide for 18S ribosomal RNA. Lineage: Eukaryota; Viridiplantae; Streptophyta; Magnoliopsida; Malpighiales; Euphorbiaceae. The record is from Rfam by way of RNAcentral.